Molecule: ribosomal RNA, 233 nt
Filed under: uncultured bacterium
Lineage: Bacteria
Description: partial 16S ribosomal RNA
Rfam family: Bacterial small subunit ribosomal RNA
Source: RNAcentral
UGGGGAAUAUUGCACAAUGGGCGCAAGCCUGAUGCAGCGACGCCGCGUGGGGGAUGACGGCCUUCGGGUUGUAAACCUCUUUCAGCUACGACGAAGCGUAAGUGACGGUAGUAGCAGAAGAAGCACCGGCCAACUACGUGCCAGCAGCCGCGGUAAUACGUAGGGUGCGAGCGUUGUCCGGAAUUACUGGGCGUAAAGAGCUCGUAGGUGGUUUGUCGCGUCGUUCGUGAAAA